AACGUAGGAGACAAACGUUAUCCGGAGUUACUGGGCGUAAAGGGCGUGUAGGUGGUAGAGUAAGUCUGGCGUGAAAUUUUUCGGCUUAACCGGGAAAGGUCGUCGGAUACUGCUUAACUAGAGGACGGUAGAGGCGUGUGGAAUUCCGGGUGUAGUGGUGAAAUGCGUAGAGAUCCGGAGGAACACCAGUGGCGAAGGCGACACGCUGGGCCGUACCUGACACUGAUGCGCGAGAGCAUGGGGAGCAAACAGG
This 253-nucleotide ribosomal RNA is filed under the name uncultured bacterium. RNAcentral describes it as "partial 16S ribosomal RNA". It matches the Rfam family "Bacterial small subunit ribosomal RNA", at positions 524 to 776 of the family's 1533-position model. The record is from RNAcentral.